Molecule: ribosomal RNA, 378 nt
Filed under: uncultured bacterium
Lineage: Bacteria
Description: bacterial SSU rRNA
Rfam family: Bacterial small subunit ribosomal RNA
Source: RNAcentral
GACGAACGCUGGCGGCGUGCUUAACACAUGCAAGUCGAGCGGUAAGGCCCUUUCGGGGGUACGACGAGCGGCGAACGGGUGAGUAACACGUGGGUGACCUGCCCUUAGCUCUGGGAUAAGCCUGGGAAACUGGGUCUAAUACCGGAUAUGACUCCAUGACGCAUGUUGUGGGGUGGAAAGCCUUGUGCGGCUAGGGAUGGGCCCGCGCCUAUCAGCUUGUUGGUGGGGUGAUGGCCACCAAGGCGACGACGGGUAGCCGGCCUGAGAGGGCGACCGGCCACACUGGGAUUGAGACACGGCCCAGACUCCUACGGGAGGCAGCAGUGGGGAAUCUUGCGCAAUGGGCGAAAGCCUGACGCAGCGACGCCGCGUGGGGGA